This 496-nucleotide unclassified non-coding RNA is filed under the name Hevea brasiliensis (rubber tree). Lineage: Eukaryota; Viridiplantae; Streptophyta; Magnoliopsida; Malpighiales; Euphorbiaceae. The record is from RNAcentral.
UAGCUGAACUUCUUGCAUUGAUCUUGUUAGCCCAGGAGUAGCACCAACAUUGACAACAUGACAUCUCUUUAAGCUGUUAAUUAGACUACUCUUACCAACAUUAGGCAGUCCAAUGACACCAACUGUAAUAGAUUGAUUUUUUGAUAUCAUGACUUCUUGAGUAAUUUUUCAGCAAUUUGAUAAGGGUUUCAGCUCCAAGACAAUCACUUGUUUGCAGAAGAUUGCUGGUCUUUGCUGUUUUUGAGGAAGAUUUCCACCCUAGGUUUGAUCUCUGCUCUUGGGUACUACACUUGAAGGCAACUGCAGGCAAUUCUUCUCUAAGAUACUUAAGCCAUUUUUCAACAGCUUCUCGAGGGACAAGAUCGAUUUUAUUUAGGAGUAAAACUAGUCGCUUAUCAUGACCUGAUCUCAUCACCAUCUUUUCCAUAUCAACACAACGGGUACCACUGGGAUCUCGGGCAUCAACAACUUCCAAUAUGACAUCUGAUUCUUCAAU